Long non-coding RNA from Sapajus apella (tufted capuchin), 1001 nucleotides. RefSeq lists it as uncharacterized. The record is from RefSeq and is a predicted model, not a curated record. The transcript is spliced from 2 exons. Lineage: Eukaryota; Metazoa; Chordata; Mammalia; Primates; Cebidae.
CUGAGGCGGGAGCGGAGCUGCUCUCGGGCAGAAGAAAAGCAGGCGGGUCCCCUCCACCGAGAUGGCGAUUACGCGCCGGGAUUCUGAACCUCUCUCUUCUCCUCCACCCCCUCUAGGUUUCCUUUUCUAACUUUUUUGUCUCACCGGGAAACAGAACCACUCUGUAAAAGAACUGAUUCAAGUGGUGGCGACGCGGGGAGGUGGAGGGAGUCAGGUCCACGGCGACAGCAUCAAAACUGUGAGCCCCGCAGAUCGCUCUGGCCUGGCCCUCCAGGAACUGGGUGCUCCCGACUGUGGCCCUUUCCCACGUCCGGGGUCGACAGCUCUCUGCCUGCCAACCCUGGGGGGUUCCAGCAUCUGAGCCGAUGCGCCCAUAGUGGAGUGGGGCUUUGUCCUGGUAUCAUGCCUGGGUGUCCACAUUUUAAAACCUGGAGGUGACACUGAACUAAUCUGAGGACAGGGGAAUCUGCCACCAUCCUCAGAAGGCUGCCCCUCCAACAAGUUAUUUAAUACAGAAGAGUAUUUUCCUAAGCAGCCUGCCUGGCACGACAAUUCAGGGUCACUUUCAUCCACUAUUAGAAUCCUGAGAUCAAAGUCAGCAUCCAACUGCGAUUAAAGGACGGGCUCUGGAGGCACAUCUGGAUUUGCUCUAUCUGCAGGUUGCUCCUUGCCUCUCUGUUAUCUCGUUUGUAAAAUGCUGCCUCCUAAUACCAUUGUGAUGAUUAAAUGACCCAGUGUGUCAGUGUCAGCCCCAUGCCUAACACACAGUAAGUCUCAGGUUGCUAUCAUCAGAAGCAUGAUAUGGUACGGUGGGGGAGAAGAGGAUGGGCUCUAGAGCCAAGGAUGCAUUUGGAUCCUGGUUCUGCCACUUACAAGUUGUAUAACCCUGGGUAAGUAAUUUAACCUCUGUACCUCAAUUACCUCAAGUAUAUGGGGGAUGACAAGGGUACCGACUACAUCGAUUUGUUAGGAGAAGGAAAUGUUUGUUUAGUCUAUGCAAA